AGGUCUAUAGUUUAAUGGUAAAACAAUAGCCUUCAAAGCUAUAUUUAAGAGUUCAAGUCUUUUUAGACCUG
Molecule: non-coding RNA, 71 nt
Organism: Pichia kudriavzevii
Lineage: Eukaryota; Fungi; Ascomycota; Pichiomycetes; Pichiales; Pichiaceae
Source: Rfam